RNAcentral lists this ribosomal RNA (387 nucleotides) under uncultured bacterium. RNAcentral's name for it is "bacterial SSU rRNA". It matches the Rfam family "Bacterial small subunit ribosomal RNA", at positions 28 to 417 of the family's 1533-position model. The record is from RNAcentral.
GACGAACGCUGGCGGCGUGCUUAACACAUGCAAGUCGAGCGGUAAGGCCCUUUCGGGGGUACACGAGCGGCGAACGGGUGAGUAACACGUGGGUGACCUGCCCUUAGCUCUGGGAUAAGCCUGGGAAACUGGGUCUAAUACCGGAUAUGACUCCAUGACGCAUGUUGUGGGGUGGAAAGCCUUGUGCGGCUAGGGAUGGGCCCGCGGCCUAUCAGCCUGUUGGUGGGGUGANGGCCUACCAAGGCGACGACGGGUAGCCGGCCUGAGAGGGCGACCGGCCACACUGGGACUGAGACACGGCCCAGACUCCUACGGGAGGCAGCAGUGGGGAAUCUUGCGCAAUGGGCGAAAGCCUGACGCAGCGACGCCGCGUGGGGAUGACGGCCU